This 253-nucleotide ribosomal RNA is filed under the name uncultured bacterium. RNAcentral's name for it is "partial 16S ribosomal RNA". It matches the Rfam family "Bacterial small subunit ribosomal RNA", at positions 524 to 776 of the family's 1533-position model. The record is from RNAcentral.
UACGUAGGGGGCAAGCGUUGUCCGGAAUCAUUGGGCGUAAAGCGCGUGUAGGCGGCCCGGUAAGUCCGCUGUGAAAGUCGGGGGCUCAACCCUCGGAUGCCGGUGGAUACUGUCGGGCUCGAGUACGGAAGAGGCGAGUGGAAUUCCUGGUGUAGCGGUGAAAUGCGCAGAUAUCAGGAGGAACACCAAUUGCGAAGGCAGCUCGCUGGGACGUUACUGACGCUGAGACGCGAAAGCGUGGGGAGCAAACAGG